This 910-nucleotide ribosomal RNA is filed under the name uncultured bacterium. RNAcentral's name for it is "bacterial SSU rRNA". It matches the Rfam family "Bacterial small subunit ribosomal RNA", at positions 8 to 916 of the family's 1533-position model. The record is from RNAcentral.
AGAGUUUGAUCAUGGCUCAGGACGAACGCUGGCGGCGUGCCUAACACAUGCAAGUCGAGCGGGGUAGCCGGAAGGUGUAGCGAUACAGCGGAGGGGUACCUAGCGGCGAACGGGUGAGUAACGCGUGGGCAAUCUGCCCCCGGGGGCGGGAUAACAGACCGAAAGGCCUGCUAAUACCGCAUGAAGCCGUCCUAUCGCAUGAUAAGACGGUAAAAGGGGAAACCCGCCUGGGGAGGAGCCCGCGUCCCAUUAGCUAGUUGGUGGUGUAAAGGACCACCAAGGCGAUGAUGGGUAGCCGGCCUGAGAGGGUGAACGGCCACAUUGGGACUGAGACACGGCCCAGACUCCUACGGGGGGCAGCAGUGAGGGAUUUUCGGCAAUGGGCGAAAGCCUGACCGAGCGACGCCGCGUGAGCGAAGAAGGCCUUCGGGUCGUAAAGCUCUGUCUAGGGGGAAGAGGAAGGACGGUACCUCUGGAGGAAGCCACGGCUAACUACGUGCCAGCAGCCGCGGUAAUACGUAGGUGGCGAGCGUUGUCCGGAAUUACUGGGCGUAAAGGGCGCGCAGGCGGCGCGUUAAGUCCGGGGUGAAAUCCAUCGGCUCAACCGGUGGGGGACCUUGGAUACUGGCGCACUGGAGUGCGGGAGAGGGAAGCGGAAUUCCACGUGUAACGGUGAAAUGUAUAGAUAUGUGGAGGAACACCGGUGGCGAAGGCGGCUUCCUGGACCGUAACUGACGCUGAGGCGCGAAAGCUGGGGGAGCGAACAGGAUUAGAUACCCUGGUAGUCCCAGCCGUAAACCAUGAACACUAGGUGUGGGGGGUAUCGACCCCUUCCGUGCCGCAGCCAACGCAAUAAGUGUUCCGCCUGGGGAGUACGGGCCGCAAGGUUGAAACUCAAAGGAAUUGACGG